Molecule: ribosomal RNA, 475 nt
Filed under: uncultured bacterium
Lineage: Bacteria
Description: bacterial SSU rRNA
Rfam family: Bacterial small subunit ribosomal RNA
Source: RNAcentral
GUCGCACGAGAACGCUUCAGCUUGCUGAAGUAAGUAAAGUGGCGCACGGCCUGAGUAACGCGUGGGUAAUCUACCCUCAAAUUGGGGAUAACCCGCCGAAAGGCGGGCUAAUACCGAAUGAUAUCCUGAAAACUUAUGUUUUUAGGAUCAAAGGUGGCCUCUACAUGUAAGCUAUUGUUUGGGGAUGAGCCCGCGUACCAUUAGCUUGUUGGUAGGGUAAUGGCCUACCAAGGCUGCGAUGGUUAGCUGGUCUGAGAGGAUGAUCAGCCACACUGGAACUGACACACGGUCCAGACUCCUACGGGAGGCAGCAGUGAGGAAUUUUGCGCAAUGGGGGAAACCCUGACGCAGCAACGCCGCGUGAGUGAUGAAGGCUUUCGGGUCGUAAAGCUCUGUCAAGUGGGAAGAACUCAUAUGGUGUUAAUAUCGCCAUGUGCUGACGGUACCACUGAAGGAAGCACCGGCUAACUCCGUG